UCGACUCUUCUGGAAAAAAGUGGAAUCGAAGUGGCAGCAGCAGCGGCUGCCGCUCUGCACGCCACCGGCGCCCUCCGCUCCCGACUCCUCUCUACCACGGCAGCCUCGCCGCACACCGCCACACCCACACCCACCUCCACCUUCCUUCCUCCCCUUACCCCGUCUUCUACGAUGCCGACAUCGUCAAGUACACCGCCGGCGCCAUCCGUCCGCCAAGUCUGCAAUGCAUCUCCUGCCUACUCCUCCGGUGCAGCAGACUCGACGCCCAGCACAUCUCCCUUCUCACCGCCGUCUCCUGCUCCCCCUCCCCCUUCUCCUUCGACACCGACGUCGGCAAGUACGCCGCCGGUGCCGUCCGUCCCCGGAGUCCGCGAGGACUCUCCUGCUUCCCCAUCCGAGGCUCUGAUGCAGCAGUCCCGCCGCCCACCACCUCCCCUGUCCUCGCCGACCUCCACGUACGCUGCUACACACUACGCAUCCUCGGCGACAGCGCCGCCACCUACUACUCCCUCCCGGCAGACGCGCUCUAUGGCCAUCCCCUUCGAGUAUGCGCUGCUCCCCUAGGACCUCUAUGCCGUCUGCAAUUGGUCUCUCCUCCCACAUGAGUCAUCUGUUUCAUUACUUGCGCACCUGCUGCUAUCACCAUCCCGAUUGGAAGCCCUCAGCCUGGCAAGAGAUUUUUGUGAAUUGAAGUACUCGACCAUGUUUGGGUUCAAAUAGCAGUAUCCAAUCUACUACAUGGUGUAUCAAUAUCAGGUUCGUAAUUUCUGCAUGUUUCCUGUCUAGGCCUUUGAAUUGUAACUAAGAUCUCCAUUGAUGAGUCAUAGGACAAGGUAAGAUACAGAACCAGCCGGCACACAAAGGCCGGCUUGAUCUAUUUCAGUUUUGUAGUGUACAUCCGUUACAGCUUACAAGUGCACCUAAGACAACAAAAUAAGCACCAAGUGAUUUUGACAUUAACUCCGGGUCAAAAUCUGGGCUUGCAAUGCUUCAGUUCUUGGGGUUCUCACAGUUCUAGAUUAUUUUUCUUGAGCACUUGGCGGAACUGAACCUUCUAGAUCACCAUCCGUGCUUCCACGAACUUCUCCUUCAGGAUGUGCUUCAAGGAGGCCCGGGGUACUCCAUGCAGCCCCUGAAACCCCAAUUGAAUUGGAUGUUCGUGGAGUUGGUAUGGUCUAAUCGGCAAAACAUUGCUGCCAGUUCCCUACAUGUGUAGUACUGCACUGCGAUGUUUCUCCAUUGCAUAGAGUGCAGUUAGCCAGGUACUGAUUAUAAAAAAAUCAUUGGUACGUAUCCAUGCAGUUUGUUUAAUUUGGCCAAGACAAUCACACGUUUUUGAGCAUAUUCUUCAUAGAGCCAUGCCCAUAGUUUUGAUGAUGAAUAUUACAAGCUACAGAUUUAAGUCUAUUUCCAACACAAAGUGUGACAUCAUGUUUUAUCUGCUCAAAUUAUGUUUCGAUUAUGCAUGAAUCUAUGUUGAUAAUUAACCUAUGAUGCCUACUUUCAGUUACCAAUUAAACAUAUUGGGUUACAUUUGCUUCUUUUUAUUAAGCAGGAAAUGUAAGAGAGAUCAGACUAAAAAUUCCUGCUUCCUCUUGCUAUUAUAUAUCUUUGUAAUUUGUAAACACUAUUAUGCUUGCUGCUCUGCCAUGAGCAGUUAUAGUUUCUGGUUGCUCCUUUGGUGACACAAUAGCUUUAAUUCGUUGCUUGGCACCCUCAUGCUAGAUUACAUGCAGGCAUGUGCGCUGUCAGGAAACUGUGCGGACAGUGGGUCAACAUGUCCAUGGUCAUUACCUAGCUCGUGCUGCACCGAUGCUGCUGGUCGUUGUUGUUGAUGACCUCCAGCAUAGUUAUGUUCAUGUUACAGGAGAAGGUUGAGUUCUGCAAGAGAGACUGGACAUGUGCAUACUACUUGGUGAGUGCAGGUCAACUGGGACUCAUGGGACUUCCAGCGUGGAUGGAACGAGACGCUCAUGUCCCCGCCUUUCCAAAUGGCCCUAAGAUACAUGUGUUGUCGAACAUGAGACUCCCUAAGGUGUGGAGCUAGAAGAGGUGGCGUUUCCAAAGGCAGUGCCGGCUAAUGCAUGGAUGGCCAACGAAGCUAAUGCAUGGAUUUUUUAAAAAUAAAGAUGUCAAGGCACAACUUGCUGGCGGAACCAAGCAUGUUGACCAUUGCAAUUUGAACGCAUAUAUUAUCGAAAAUGGGAUGAUUUGUGUAGUUUUAUAGCAAAUACAAAUGCGCUUUUGGAUGUAAAUUUUGCGGCAACACGCUUUGGAAUUAAAUGGAUGGGUGAAUGAAGAGAGGGAAAAAAACGUAUGU
Triticum dicoccoides is the source of this 2320-nucleotide long non-coding RNA. RefSeq lists it as uncharacterized. The transcript is spliced from 3 exons. Lineage: Eukaryota; Viridiplantae; Streptophyta; Magnoliopsida; Poales; Poaceae. The record is from RefSeq and is a predicted model, not a curated record.